Molecule: transfer-messenger RNA, 394 nt
Filed under: pig gut metagenome
Rfam family: transfer-messenger RNA
About the family: Bacterial tmRNA, also known as 10Sa RNA or SsrA, is named for its dual tRNA and mRNA-like properties. Its role is to liberate the mRNA from a stalled ribosome.
Source: RNAcentral
GGGGAUGAAAUGGUUUCGACAGGUUAGGAGGAAUCGGAAUUGCAGCCGAGUUGUGACGUAAUCACUUCUGCUAUAAUAAAUGGCAACAAAACAAUUUUUAACAAUGCGCCUGCUUUCGCAGCCGCUGCUUGCUAAUUAGCGUUUCGCAGCAUAAGUUUGGCCUAAGGCCACGCAUUCAUCUUCUUUAAAUCGCUUUUCUCUCGGAUUGAAGAAGGUGUGGACAAGAGGGAAUAGAAUCUUAUAUUGAUAACGGAUAAGAAUCGAAUUAUUAGUUAUCUCACUAAUAACUUAUUUCGUUCACUUAUAGGUUAUUAGGAAAACAAAGUGAAAUAAGCUGUAGUAGUUCUGGUGGUGCCUUAUUUGGACAGGAGUUCAACUCUCCUCAUCUCCACCA